CAGUAGCCGCGGGAAUACGUAGGUGGCAAGCGUUGUCCGGAAUUAUUGGGCGUAAAGGGCUCGCAGGCGGUUUCUUAAGUCUGAUGUGAAAGCCCCCGGCUCAACCGGGGAGGGUCAUUGGAAACUGGGAAACUUGAGUGCAGAAGAGGAGAGUGGAAUUCCACGUGUAGCGGUGAAAUGCGUAGAGAUGUGGAGGAACACCAGUGGCGAAGGCGACUCCCUGGCCUGUAACUGACGCUGAGGAGCGAAAGCGUGGGGAGCGAACAGGAUUAGAUACCCGCGUAGUCCCUGUCUCUUAUAC
This 301-nucleotide ribosomal RNA is filed under the name uncultured bacterium. Its description in RNAcentral is "partial 16S ribosomal RNA". It matches the Rfam family "Bacterial small subunit ribosomal RNA", at positions 509 to 807 of the family's 1533-position model. The record is from RNAcentral.